RNAcentral lists this ribosomal RNA (1000 nucleotides) under Flavobacterium chilense. RNAcentral describes it as "bacterial SSU rRNA". It matches the Rfam family "Bacterial small subunit ribosomal RNA", at positions 56 to 1065 of the family's 1533-position model. The record is from RNAcentral. Lineage: Bacteria; Pseudomonadati; Bacteroidota; Flavobacteriia; Flavobacteriales; Flavobacteriaceae.
UGCAGUCGAGGGGUAUAGUUCUCGCGGAGCUAGAGACCGGCGCACGGGUGCGUAACGCGUAUGCAAUCUACCUUUCACAGAGGGAUAGCCCAGAGAAAUUUGGAUUAAUACCUCAUAGUAUUAUGGAGUGGCAUCACUUUAUAAUUAAAGUCACAACGGUGAAAGAUGAGCAUGCGUCCCAUUAGCUAGUUGGUAAGGUAACGGCUUACCAAGGCAACGAUGGGUAGGGGUCCUGAGAGGGAGAUCCCCCACACUGGUACUGAGACACGGACCAGACUCCUACGGGAGGCAGCAGUGAGGAAUAUUGGUCAAUGGACGCAAGUCUGAACCAGCCAUGCCGCGUGCAGGAUGACGGUCCUAUGGAUUGUAAACUGCUUUUGUACGAGAAGAAACACUCCUACGUGUAGGAGCUUGACGGUAUCGUAAGAAUAAGGAUCGGCUAACUCCGUGCCAGCAGCCGCGGUAAUACGGAGGAUCCAAGCGUUAUCCGGAAUCAUUGGGUUUAAAGGGUCCGUAGGCGGUUUAGUAAGUCAGUGGUGAAAGCCCAUCGCUCAACGGUGGAACGGCCAUUGAUACUGCUGAACUUGAAUUAUUAGGAAGUAACUAGAAUAUGUAGUGUAGCGGUGAAAUGCUUAGAGAUUACAUGGAAUACCAAUUGCGAAGGCAGGUUACUACUAAUUGAUUGACGCUGAUGGACGAAAGCGUGGGUAGCGAACAGGAUUAGAUACCCUGGUAGUCCACGCCGUAAACGAUGGAUACUAGCUGUUGGGGGCAACUUCAGUGGCUAAGCGAAAGUGAUAAGUAUCCCACCUGGGGAGUACGUUCGCAAGAAUGAAACUCAAAGGAAUUGACGGGGGCCCGCACAAGCGGUGGAGCAUGUGGUUUAAUUCGAUGAUACGCGAGGAACCUUACCAAGGCUUAAAUGUAGAUUGACCGGUUUGGAAACAGAUCUUUCGCAAGACAAUUUACAAGGUGCUGCAUGGUUGUCGUCAGCUCGUGC